RNAcentral lists this microRNA (19 nucleotides) under Corchorus olitorius. RNAcentral's name for it is "tca-miR-3868-". Lineage: Eukaryota; Viridiplantae; Streptophyta; Magnoliopsida; Malvales; Malvaceae. The record is from RNAcentral.
CUCAACUAUAGUUUAAUUU